UCUUUCUUCUCCACUUUUUCUUCAUUAAAAAAAAAAGAAAAAAACGCAAUCACUCAGAUGAUAAUAUUACUAACUACGAUGAUGUUUUGAUAGCUAAACUAUUUUUUGCAAGGAGGGGGGGGGGGUAUUGAAUGUCUUUUACUGACUACCCAACCCAGAUGACAACGACUGACAGCGAAGGAAGAAAUUAUCGUGAUUAUUUUUG
This 205-nucleotide non-coding RNA is filed under the name Oxyrrhis marina. The record is from RNAcentral. Lineage: Eukaryota; Dinophyceae; Oxyrrhinales; Oxyrrhinaceae.